CCCCAAGAGUCCACAUCGACGGGGAGGUUUGGCACCUCGAUGUCGGCUCAUCACAUCCUGGGGCUGUAGUAGGUCCCAAGGGUUGGGCUGUUCGCCCAUUAAAGUGGUACGCGAGCUGGGUUCAGAACGUCGUGAGACAGUUCGGUCCCUAUCCGUCGCAGGCGUAGGAAAUUUGAGAAGACCUGUCCGUUAGUACGAGAGGACCGGGAUGGACGUACCUCUGGUGUACCAGUUGU
Molecule: ribosomal RNA, 236 nt
Filed under: Clostridioides difficile
Lineage: Bacteria; Bacillati; Bacillota; Clostridia; Peptostreptococcales; Peptostreptococcaceae
Description: partial 23S ribosomal RNA
Rfam family: Bacterial large subunit ribosomal RNA
Source: RNAcentral